AGUGCCCGACAGAUGUUUUCUAGUCACUUUUGUAUGUCAGGGGAUGCGGGAGGCUCUUGUGUGUUCAGAGCCAGGACCAUCCGAAACAUCAGAAGUCGGCACAGCACCAUCUGCUAUUUGUUAAACCUUGUUGUAUUGUUUCCACAUAGCCUGGUUGAUUCUAUGAAUGGCUUGUCAGAACUGCUGCAGCGCCGGUGGUCUUAUUAAUUUUCGGGGUGGUCCCUUAUCGAAGACACCCCUCACUCCACACACAGCGACUGUGGUGCUAUUAAUAUGGGGUGGACGGACAGUGGACCCUGUUUGACGCCUGACUGUCGGGUUUGUUACAUGACGGAAUUCCAAAAUUGGGUGUUUUGUUUAGUCGUGUUUUGUUCCAUUAAGUUCUGUUUUCUUUUGUAUAUGUAGUUUAUCCAGAUCUAUUCUUUUUUUUAAAUUAUUAGUUCCAAUUUUCUU
Physella acuta is the source of this 453-nucleotide long non-coding RNA. RefSeq lists it as uncharacterized. NCBI's taxonomy places the organism in Eukaryota, Metazoa, Mollusca, Gastropoda, Physidae. The record is from RefSeq and is a predicted model, not a curated record.